Molecule: ribosomal RNA, 447 nt
Filed under: uncultured bacterium
Lineage: Bacteria
Description: partial 16S ribosomal RNA
Rfam family: Bacterial small subunit ribosomal RNA
Source: RNAcentral
AACGAACGCUGGCGGCAGGCUUAACACAUGCAAGUCGAACGCCCCGCAAGGGGAGUGGCAGACGGGUGAGUAACGCGUGGGAAUCUACCCAGUUCUACGGAACAACACAGGGAAACUUGUGCUAAUACCGUAUACGCCCUAAGGGGGAAAGAUUUAUCGGAAUUGGAUGAGCCCGCGUUGGAUUAGCUAGUUGGUGGGGUAAUGGCCUACCAAGGCGACGAUCCAUAGCUGGUCUGAGAGGAUGAUCAGCCACACUGGGACUGAGACACGGCCCAGACUCCUACGGGAGGCAGCAGUGGGGAAUAUUGGACAAUGGGCGCAAGCCUGAUCCAGCCAUGCCGCGUGAGUGAUGAAGGCCUUAGGGUUGUAAAGCUCUUUCAGUAGGGACGAUAAUGACGGUACCUACAGAAGAAGCCCCGGCUAACUUCGUGCCAGCCGCCGCCGUAA